Molecule: long non-coding RNA, 511 nt
Filed under: Pan troglodytes (chimpanzee)
Lineage: Eukaryota; Metazoa; Chordata; Mammalia; Primates; Hominidae
Description: long non-coding RNA NONPTRT008784
Source: RNAcentral
GGGACUACCACUCACGCAGAGCCAAUCGGAACUCGCGGUGGGGCUGCUGGGUCUUCCAGGAGCGCGCAGGAGCGGACGCUGCCUAUGGGUGGCCGGGCGGGAUGUAACCGGCUGCUGAGCUGGCAGUUCUGUGUCGCUAGGCUUCUGCCCGGCCGCCGCCGCACAUAAGCUGCGAGGAGGAGCUUUACGACUGCCCGGUCUUCGGGGCCGGGCGCAGCAAGGGCCAGACUCUGCGCUAGCAGGCGCUGCGCGCCAACCGGCCAGCACCUGUCGCAGAAGGUGCAACCGAUCGCACUGUCGCGCAGAAGCUCCUCAAUGGCCAGCGCCAGCUGCAGCCCCGGCCGCCCACUCGCCUCAAUCUGAGCCUGGGUGGAACAAUCCAAAGUUUUAAUCAAAGAAGGUGGUGUUCAGUUGCUGCUUACAAUAGUUGAUACCCCAGGAUUUGGAGAUGCAGUGGAUAAUAGUAAUUGGUAAAAAGGAUUUGUCCUCACAACUUUCCAGUGUAUUUGGG